GAAGGGGAGGGAGAGUUGUUCAGCGGAGGAGUCAUCUACAGAGAGAGAGAAAGAAGAGGGGGAAGAGCUGGCCUGCAAAGAAAAGGAGGGAGAGAGGAAUACAAACUGCAACGAAGAGAAGGAGAACACCAAGCUCUGAUGGUCCGCAACCGCACCAUGCCCCUGAUUUACAGAGUGGGAGACCCCCAUAGUGUGCACUAACUCCCUUCAUCCCAUAGCACAUACUGUAGUGGAAAAGGAGAGGCUGGUAUGGACUGCAGACUAUGCCACUGGAUGGACUCCCUUUAGUCCUCUGCAUCUGGAAGGUCCUACACUCUGGCUGCGUCCCAAAUUGCACACUAUGCCCUAUAUAGUUUAGUAAGUUUGACCAGGUUCAAUAGUCCUCUGGUCUAAAGUAGUGCACUAUAUAGGGAGUAGGGUUUCAUUUGGGACAUAGCUAUGCACAUGUUUGGAGUUUGGGAAUCCCUGGUCUAGAUAAAUCAAUUAAUGUCAGAUUUUUGUUUUCACUUCAUCUCUGUUUUGAUAUUUUGUUACAAUUAGGCUGGAGAAAUGUUAGCUAAGUUGAAGUGAGUGCUAAUGAUCAUCUUUAGUCUUAGUUUCCUCACAUAUUAACUGAUAAGAACAUUUUGACAGCAUUUUAUACAAGUGAAUUUUGCUCUUCAGCCUGUCCUACUCUGAUAAUCAAUCAUGUCCUACUCCUGACCAAAAGCCUGUGACUUGUCUGAUAAUCAAUCAAUGUGAUUUUGUUUCACUGAAUGUCUGUCUGUAUAUUUGGUUAAUUGAUCUCUGGCUGGACAAGUGGAAGUGGUAGAUAAUUGAUUAGUUUGCUCAUCUAUCACCGAUCAGAUUUUUUUUUGCAUGCAAUAAUGUAGCCCAAAUCAAGUGUAUUAUUUAUCUAUUGACUCACGUACUGUAGUAGCCUUAUAUAGAGCCUAGGCUUAUUUCCUAUUGUCCCAAUCCAACUGAAACUCAAUAUCCUGACUCCUGUCUUGCAUGAACAUUCCUAACUUGGCCCAGCGUUGUUCGGGGUAGGCUGUCAUUGUAAAUAAGAUUUUGUUCUUAACUGACUUGCCUAGUUCAAUAAAGGUUACAUUUUAACAUUU
Molecule: long non-coding RNA, 1103 nt
Organism: Salvelinus namaycush (lake trout)
Lineage: Eukaryota; Metazoa; Chordata; Actinopteri; Salmoniformes; Salmonidae
Exons: 2
Source: RefSeq, a predicted model, not a curated record